GUCUCCAUAGCUCAAUGGAUAGAGUACUGUCCUCCUAAGACAUAGAUACAGGUUCGAUUCCUGUUGGAGACGCCA
RNAcentral lists this transfer RNA (75 nucleotides) under Fusobacteriaceae bacterium. RNAcentral's name for it is "tRNA-Arg". It matches the Rfam family "tRNA". From Rfam's summary of the family: Transfer RNA (tRNA) molecules are approximately 80 nucleotides in length. Their secondary structure includes four short double-helical elements and three loops (D, anti-codon, and T loops). Lineage: Bacteria; Fusobacteriati; Fusobacteriota; Fusobacteriia; Fusobacteriales; Fusobacteriaceae. The record is from RNAcentral.